ACAUGACGGCGGUCCCGGCAAUAACCGCUGGCUAGGUGCGCCCGGCCGGCGGAAGCAACAGGGGAGGGUAGAGAAAAGC
This 79-nucleotide non-coding RNA is filed under the name uncultured Chlorophyceae. The record is from RNAcentral. Lineage: Eukaryota; Viridiplantae; Chlorophyta; Chlorophyceae.